This 257-nucleotide ribosomal RNA is filed under the name uncultured bacterium. RNAcentral describes it as "partial 16S ribosomal RNA". It matches the Rfam family "Bacterial small subunit ribosomal RNA", at positions 524 to 776 of the family's 1533-position model. The record is from RNAcentral.
UACGAAGGGGGCUAGCGUUGUUCGGAAUUACUGGGCGUAAAGCGUGCGCAGGCGGCUUCUCAAGUCAGGGGUGAAAGCCCAGAGCUCAACUCUGGAAUUGCCUUUGAGACUGAGUGGCUUGAGUACGAGAGAGGUGAGUGGAAUUCCCAGUGUAGAGGUGAAAUUCGUAGAUAUUGGGAAGAACACCGGUGGCGAAGGCGGCUCACUGGCUCGUAACUGACGCUCAUGCAACGACAGCCGUGGGGGAUCAAAACAGG